AUGGCUUCCCACCCGUCGCCGCCGCCGGAAUACCCUAGACCACCCGCUCGAACCACGAUAAGCGCCCUCGGCGACAACCAGCUCCGAGAGAUCUUCCUCCGCCUCCCGGACCUCCGCAGCCUCGCCUCUGCCGCCUUCACCUGCCGCGCCUUCCUCGGCGCCAUCUGCUCGUCGCGCGCCUUCCGCCGCCGCUUCCGCGAGCUCCACGCACCCCCGCUCAUCGCUCUCUUCCUCACACCCUGCAUGCACACGGUACCGGCCUUCCCCUCCUCACGGCGCCCCUCCGCCGGAUUCAGUCCCCUCCGAGACCACGCCGCCGCUUCCGAUUCCGAGUGGGGACUCGAUUUCCGCGACAUUGCCUACGACGACGGCUUCAUUUGCAUCGAAAAGCGGACCACCAAGCAGCAAGCUUUGUACAAUCCCCAAACAACUGCCCUGAUUCUCGGCCCCAAGGAGGACCACGACAUGCCCUACGGCAGCUCCCUUGAGUUCCACACACUCCCUCCCGAAGAGGAUCAGAGGCCGUCCCGUGUGGUCUGUGUCCGUCACGACUACUCGUGGGCUUGGGUACGCGUUGCUGUCCUCUCAUCCGACACCAUGGAGUGGCAGAUGUUCCCGGAGACUGCGAUGCCGCUGCCCGAGGGCUCCAUGCACGCAGCCAGCACGGUGGUGGAUGGGUUUAUCUGUUGGGAAUUCGUGUCCCUGAAUGAGGUAUCUCUCAGCGAGUACAUUUUGGUGCUCAACACGGAUACCUUUCAGUUCUCUCGAAUUGAUCUGCCGCCGUCCUUGAGAGUGGUAUACCCAAAAUUUAAGAUUGGUCAGACCAAGGAUCGGAACCUCUGCAUCGUCAUUUUUUUGUUCCGAUCUGCACAGCCGGUGAUGAUGGCGUCCAGAGAUUUGUGCUGCACAGUACGUUCCCGUUGCACGCUAGAUUUAUGGAGGUCACCAGCUGUUCAGUGGAAGAUAAAUUCUCUGUGCAGCUUAUGA
This 987-nucleotide ribosomal RNA is filed under the name Triticum aestivum (bread wheat). RNAcentral's name for it is "partial small subunit ribosomal RNA". Lineage: Eukaryota; Viridiplantae; Streptophyta; Magnoliopsida; Poales; Poaceae. The record is from RNAcentral.